RNAcentral lists this ribosomal RNA (856 nucleotides) under Camarosporidiella mori. RNAcentral's name for it is "partial large subunit ribosomal RNA". It matches the Rfam family "Eukaryotic large subunit ribosomal RNA", at positions 77 to 949 of the family's 3401-position model. Lineage: Eukaryota; Fungi; Ascomycota; Dothideomycetes; Pleosporales. The record is from RNAcentral.
GCCCUAGUAACGGCGAGUGAAGCGGCAACAGCUCAAAUUUGAAAUCUGGCUCUUUCAGAGUCCGAGUUGUAAUUUGCAGAGGGCGCUUUGGCGUUGGCAGCGGUCCAAGUUCCUUGGAACAGGACGUCACAGAGGGUGAGAAUCCCGUACGUGGUCGCUGGCCUUCGCCGUGUAAAGCCCCUUCGACGAGUCGAGUUGUUUGGGAAUGCAGCUCUAAAUGGGAGGUAAAUUUCUUCUAAAGCUAAAUACUGGCCAGAGACCGAUAGCGCACAAGUAGAGUGAUCGAAAGAUGAAAAGCACUUUGGAAAGAGAGUCAAAUAGCACGUGAAAUUGUUGAAAGGGAAGCGCUUGCAGCCAGACUUGCCUGUAGUUGCUCAUCCGGGCUUUUGCCCGGUGCACUCUUCUGCGGGCAGGCCAGCAUCAGUUUGGGCGGUUGGAUAAAGGUCUCUGUCAUGUACCUCCUUUCGGGGAGGCCUUAUAGGGGAGACGUCAUGCAACCAGCCUGGACUGAGGUCCGCGCAUUUAUGCUAGGAUGCUGGCGUAAUGGCUGUAAGCGGCCCGUCUUGAAACACGGACCAAGGAGUCUAACAUCUAUGCGAGUGUUUGGGUGUCAAGCCCGAACGCGUAAUGAAAGUGAACGGAGGUGGGACCCCUUUAGGGUGCACCAUCGACCGAUCCUGAUGUCUUCGGAUGGAUUUGAGUAAGAGCAUGGCUGUUGGGACCCGAAAGAUGGUGAACUAUGCUUGAAUAGGGUGAAGCCAGAGGAAACUCUGGUGGAGGCUCGCAGCGGUUCUGACGUGCAAAUCGAUCGUCAAAUUUGGGCAUAGGGGCGAAAGACUAAUCGAACUAUCUAGUA